RNAcentral lists this ribosomal RNA (664 nucleotides) under uncultured bacterium. RNAcentral describes it as "bacterial SSU rRNA". It matches the Rfam family "Bacterial small subunit ribosomal RNA", at positions 232 to 885 of the family's 1533-position model. The record is from RNAcentral.
CGCGGCCUAUCAGCUUGUUGGUGAGGUAACGGCUCACCAAGGCGAUGACGGGUAGCUGGCGUGAGAGCGCGACCAGCCACACUGGGACUGAGACACGGCCCAGACUCCUACGGGAGGCAGCAGUGGGGAAUAUUGCGCAAUGGGCGAAAGCCUGACGCAGCGACGCCGCGUGGGGGAGGAAGGCCUCAGGGUUGUAAACCCCUGUCAGGUGGGACGAACCCCGAGUCGGAUAAUACCCGGCUCGACUGACGGUACCACCAGAGGAAGCUCCGGCUAACUCCGUGCCAGCAGCCGCGGUAAUACGGAGGGAGCAAGCGUUGUUCGGAAUCACUGGGCGUAAAGGGCGCGUAGGCGGUCGCGUAAGUCGGGUGUGAAAUUCCGGGGCUCAACCCCGUGAACUGCACCCGAUACUGCGUGACUAGAGAGAGGUAGGGGCAAGUGGAAUUCCCGGUGUAGCGGUGGAAUGCGUAGAUAUCGGGAAGAACACCCGUGGCGAAGGCGGCUUGCUGGACCUUUUCUGACGCUGAAGCGCGAAAGCGUGGGGAACAAACAGGAUUAGAUACCCUGGUAGUCCACGCCGUAAACGCUGGGUACUAGGUGUUGGGAGGAUCGACCCUUUCAGUGCCGACGCUAACGCAUUAAGUACCCCGCCUGGGGAGUACGG